Molecule: small RNA, 514 nt
Filed under: Arabidopsis thaliana (thale cress)
Lineage: Eukaryota; Viridiplantae; Streptophyta; Magnoliopsida; Brassicales; Brassicaceae
Description: ATSL275750
Source: RNAcentral
GAUGCACCACACAACCACAAUCAGCGUAAUGGCAUCGUGCCUCCACCAGUGCAGAACAGCAACUUUGAGAUCAAGAGCGGUCUCAUUGCCAUGGUUCAGAGCAACAAGUUCCACCGCCUCCCUAUGGAGGAUCCACUCGAUCACCUAGACGAGUUUGAUAGGCUCUGCAGCAUAACAAAGAUCAAUGGAGUUAGUGAGGAUGGCUUCAAGCUCAGAUUGUUUACAUUCUCUCUUGGAGACAAACCCCAUCAGUGGGAAAAGUUGCUUCCUUAAGGCUCUAUCACCUCCUGGAAUUACUGCAAGAAAGCCUUCUUGGCUAAGUUUUCUCAUACUCCAGGACUGCGAGACUAAGGAAUGAUAUUUCCGGUUUCACACAGACAAAUAAUGAGACUUUCUGCGAAGCAUGGGAGCGUUUCAAAGGUUACCAGACACAAUGUCCUCAUCAUGGUUUCUACAAAGCUUCACUUCUCAGCACCCUCUAUAGAGGUGUCCUUCCCAAGAUCAUGAUGCUUCU